This 253-nucleotide ribosomal RNA is filed under the name uncultured bacterium. Its description in RNAcentral is "partial 16S ribosomal RNA". It matches the Rfam family "Bacterial small subunit ribosomal RNA", at positions 524 to 776 of the family's 1533-position model. The record is from RNAcentral.
UACGUAGGGUGCAAGCGUUGUCCGGAAUUAUUGGGCGUAAAGAGCUCGUAGGCGGUUUGUCGCGUCUGCUGUGAAAACUCGGGGCUUAACCCCGGGCCUGCAGUGGGUACGGGCAGACUAGAGUGCGGUAGGGGAGACUGGAAUUCCUGGUGUAGCGGUGAAAUGCGCAGAUAUCAGGAGGAACACCGGUGGCGAAGGCGGCUACCUGGACCGGUUCUGACGCUGAGGCGCGAAAGCGUGGGUAGCAAACAGG